This 72-nucleotide transfer RNA is filed under the name Camelus bactrianus (Bactrian camel). It matches the Rfam family "tRNA". Rfam says of the family: Transfer RNA (tRNA) molecules are approximately 80 nucleotides in length. Their secondary structure includes four short double-helical elements and three loops (D, anti-codon, and T loops). RNAcentral also lists the same sequence under 1 other name. The record is from Rfam by way of RNAcentral. Lineage: Eukaryota; Metazoa; Chordata; Mammalia; Artiodactyla; Camelidae.
GAGGGUGUAGCUCAGUGGUAGAGCACAUGCUUAGCAUGCAUUAGGUCCUGGGUUCAAUCCCCAGUACCUCCA